RNAcentral lists this transfer RNA (65 nucleotides) under Pachydactylus carinatus. RNAcentral describes it as "tRNA-Trp". The record is from RNAcentral. Lineage: Eukaryota; Metazoa; Chordata; Lepidosauria; Squamata; Gekkonidae.
AAGUUUAAGUUAACCAAAACCCAGGACCUUCAAAGUCCUAAAUAGGGGCCACACCCUAACUUCUG